RNAcentral lists this ribosomal RNA (370 nucleotides) under uncultured organism. RNAcentral's name for it is "bacterial SSU rRNA". It matches the Rfam family "Bacterial small subunit ribosomal RNA", at positions 526 to 896 of the family's 1533-position model. The record is from RNAcentral.
CGAGAGGCCCAAACGUUAUUCGGAUCUACUGGGCUUAAAGAGUUCGUAGGCUGCGCAGAAAGUAGGGUGUGAAAGCCCUCGGCUCAACCGAGGAAUUGCGCUCUAAACUGCUGUGCUUGAGGAACCUAGAGGUGAGCAGAACUGAUGGUGGAGCGGUGAAAUGCGUUGAUAUCAUCAGGAGUACCGGAGGCGAAGGCGGCUCACUGGGGGUUUUCUGACGCUGAGGAACGAAAGCCAGGGGAGCGAACGGGAUUAGAUACCCCGGUAGUCCUGGCCGUAAACGAUGAGCACUGGGCCGGAGGACUGCACAGUUUUCCGGCCGUAGCGAAAGUGUUAAGUGCUCCGCCUGGGGAGUAUGGUCGCAAGGCUG